AGUGAACGCUGGCGGUAGGCCUAACACAUGCAAGUCGAACGGCCGCACAGUAAGAGCUUGCUCUUACGGGUGGCGAGUGGCGGACGGGUGACGCAUACAUCGGAAUCUACUUUUUCGUGGUGGAUAACGUAGGGAAACUUACGCUAAUACCGCAUACGACCUACGGGUGAAACCAGGGGAUCUUCGGACCUUGCGCGAUUGAAUGGGCCGAUGCCGGAUUAGCUAGUUGGUGGGGUAAAGGCCCACCAAGGCGCCACUCCGUAGCUGGUCUGAGAGGAUGAUCAGGCAGACUGGAAGUGAGACACGGUCCACACUCCUACGGUGGGCAGCGGUGGGGAAUAUUGGGGAAUGGGGGCGUGCCUGAUACAGCCAUAUCGCGUGGAUGAAGAAGGACUUCGGGUGGUAGAGUCAUGUUGUUGGGAAAGAAAAGCAGCAGGUUAAUCCCCCGCUGUUCUGACGGUACCCAAAGAGUAAGCACCGGCUAACUUCGUG
RNAcentral lists this ribosomal RNA (492 nucleotides) under uncultured bacterium. RNAcentral's name for it is "partial 16S ribosomal RNA". It matches the Rfam family "Bacterial small subunit ribosomal RNA", at positions 29 to 507 of the family's 1533-position model. The record is from RNAcentral.